UGUAAGCGUAUACCAAAGUUGUUGCAGUUAAAACGCUCGUAGUCGGAAUUUGGCAGUUCCGGAAGUGUGCACGUCGUGUGCGCACUUUGCGGGGACUGCUUUUGUGGUCUUGCGUAGGAUGAGGCACUUUCAUUAGUGAACGUCCUCACGCAACCACUCUUUACUGUGAGAAAAUCAGAGUGCUCAAAGCAGGCAUUUGCCGUGAAUGUAUUAGCAUGGAAUAAUAGAAUAGGACUCGGUUCUAUUUUGUUGGUUUGUUGGGACUGAGUAAUGAUUAAGAGGGACAGUUGGAAGCAUUUGUAUUCCGGCGCUAGAGGUGAAAUUCUUAGAUUGCCGGAAGACAAACUGCUGCGAAAGCGUCUGCCAAGGAUGUUUUCAUUGA
RNAcentral lists this ribosomal RNA (382 nucleotides) under uncultured eukaryote. RNAcentral's name for it is "partial 18S ribosomal RNA". It matches the Rfam family "Eukaryotic small subunit ribosomal RNA", at positions 592 to 976 of the family's 1831-position model. The record is from RNAcentral.